UCGAAGUUGGAUGGGUGGGGGGUUUUGUUUUUGAAACGAAACAAGAGGGCUAACCUUGGGGACUGAUUUCAGUUGGUUUGUAAACUGACAUAGGGUUUUGAUUUUAGGGUUAUGAGGGGUUUUUAUAUAGUACAUAAAAUGGCACCGUUUAGGGCUUGUUUCAGUGGCUUUAAAACGGUGCCGUAUUGGUUGAUUAUCCCCAGCAACCAGUGCGGUGACCUGACCCGAGGAAGGAUCCACAUGUUUUUCAGUGCUUGGGUAUAUUUCACAAAUAGUCC
This 278-nucleotide long non-coding RNA is filed under the name Gossypium barbadense (sea-island cotton). Its description in RNAcentral is "long non-coding RNA (GBAR_LNC015413)". The record is from RNAcentral. Lineage: Eukaryota; Viridiplantae; Streptophyta; Magnoliopsida; Malvales; Malvaceae.